RNAcentral lists this ribosomal RNA (265 nucleotides) under uncultured bacterium. RNAcentral's name for it is "partial 16S ribosomal RNA". It matches the Rfam family "Bacterial small subunit ribosomal RNA", at positions 88 to 354 of the family's 1533-position model. The record is from RNAcentral.
CCGGCGACCGGCGGACGGGUGCAUAACGCGUAUGUAACCUACCUUUGACAGGGGGAUAACAUCGAGAAAUUGGUACUAAUACCCCAUAACAUCACCGGAGGCAUCUUCGGUGGUUGAAAACUCAGGUGGUCAGAGAUGGACAUGCGUUGUAUUAGCUAGUUGGUGAGGUAACGGCUCACCGAGGCGACGAUACAUAGGGGGACUGAGAGGUCAACCCCCCACAUUGGUACUGAGACACGGACCAAACUCCUACGGAAGGCAGCAG